UAGUAGCAAGUGCUGGUGACUGUACCUAAUGAAAAGUAUCGUAUCGUUAACAUUUAUAGUAAUAUCGUGACCUGUAUUCAAUAUUGAAGUGGAAUGCAGCCCACUGGUGUGCACUAAAUACAAAGGUCAUAUUUUAGCUUUUUACCACAAGAUCUGAAGUUCCAUAUUCAAAGCCCAUAUCAUCAUGAUCUGUCCGUUAUUGAGCCCACCACUGGUUUUCCUGCAGCGGCGGCAGCGGCAACUUCGUGCUCUCGACGAGCACCACAGGCUACACGCCGUGUUUUGGUGUGACGGCCGCCAUGGUUCGAGACGGCUACGGGUGCUUCUACUCGAUCGAGCCAGAUCGGCUCAACAUCAACAUCUCGGGCUUCGUGAGCAGCGAGGAGUGUGACGUCAACAAGUUCUACGACUCGGUGGCCUCCAGCCUGGACGGCAUGCAGCAGCUGAUGCUGUCCAGGAGUAACCUCUGAGCUCUGCUCGAGACACUAAGACCAGUGCACAACGCCGAGGUGGGAGAACCGAGCUGAACAGUUGUCUGACUUGCCUGGACGUGGAAAGUGCCCACUGUUUACGGAGACGCUGGCGGGAAUGGAUAGGUAUGUAUGCGAGGAUCGAUCACGGUUUCCAGGGUUGUGGACGGAGUUUUAUGCGGAUGCCGAUACCCGCAACAAUCGGAAUGUCAGCUAAUGAAUGACUUGAAUGUCAUGUUUCAGAGCUCGAUAAACAAUGCAAGAUUGUAGAUGACUUGACUCAUUUGUGUUCAUAUGCUCUGUUUGUAUUAUAAUAUUCAACUUGUUCUUAGCAAAAUACUGUUCAUCCGGGACUUGUAGUUAAUUUUCUGUGUACUUGCGUUGAACUUUUUCGUCGCGUAUCGCUGUAUAGGUUCUUCGUUCUGGCCUAGCGCUUCAAUCUUGACCCGAGGUAUGUUUAUCAACACGUUUUUACAAAUAGGUUUUAACCGUUGGACAGCAGCCUUAGGUGUUGGAUCGUCGGCGCAAAAUUCAUACUGCUUUACGUUUUUAUGGGUGCCAAAAAAAACCGGAGAUUCGAAAUAAUUAAUGGAAUAGGUAUGAUAGCGGGUUGAGCACGCCUCGUCAUUCUAAAUGUAGGGGAUAUGCGUUGCUGCAAAAUAAUAUCCUGGAUUCAAUUAUAGUUAAUAUGUAUAUCAUUCCCUAGCAAUGAGCUGGUGGCAGCGUUACAAAUGCAAUGUGUACUGUUUAUCCUCUUGCCACUUCUUGAUGAUUCUUCAAUGCAAUGUUUGAUGCAGAUUCGUAGUAAUCGUUCACACAGAGCUUGCCGUUGUAAUGACGCGUUCCGUUUUCUACACAUUCCUGUUGAUCAGAGUCGCAAUGGUUGGAGAUUCAAAAGAAGGGUAUUGUAUGGCAUGGCUGUUGAGGUGUGUGGCAGGCAGAGCCGCUGCGAGGGGAGUAUUCAUCGUUUGAGCUUGCUGAGUUUGGCAUAGGACUGUGCGCUGUGCUGUGUAUGUUCUGUGCCGGAAAGUGCCUGCACCCACUGCCGGUAGUCUGAUGAAGGGAGGGAACAGGUUAGAGUACCGUAUUUCGUCAACUCUUUCACCUAUCGCGCUGGCUGUUGUGUUUAGUGGCUGAGAUUGUGCUCGAGGUCUCUCUAGCAGUCACUCGCACAUUAGAAAGCUGUAGACCGGAAGGUUUUGUGAUGCAGUGUAGCGUGGCUCUCCUCAAACCCUGGUUAUAUUUGUGCAAUCACUGUAUUUCUACCGUAUUACACGGUACCGCUAUGUAAUUCAGAGCCGUAUUCAAUAACGGCGGCCGUGGCCGGAUUGUUACACGGCGAGUGUCGGAACGGAGCCGAGAGACAAAUGUCAUAGGUGAUUGUAUAUGGAAAAUGCCUGGCCUCGGGCUGUGCAGUGUGCGGCCGCCAGUGAAAUACACGCCGAGAGAUGCGGCGUGUGGUCUGGUCAUGGCUAUUUGGAAGAGUCGUGUCAAAUAUACGGCAAGAGACGAGA
This is a long non-coding RNA of Amphibalanus amphitrite, 1984 nucleotides long. RefSeq lists it as uncharacterized. The transcript has 2 exons. Lineage: Eukaryota; Metazoa; Arthropoda; Thecostraca; Balanomorpha; Balanidae. The record is from RefSeq and is a predicted model, not a curated record.